This 866-nucleotide ribosomal RNA is filed under the name uncultured Bacteroidota bacterium. Its description in RNAcentral is "bacterial SSU rRNA". It matches the Rfam family "Bacterial small subunit ribosomal RNA", at positions 9 to 873 of the family's 1533-position model. Lineage: Bacteria; Pseudomonadati; Bacteroidota. The record is from RNAcentral.
AGAGUUUGAUCCUGGCUCAGGAUGAACGCUAGCGGCAGGCUUAACACAUGCAAGUCGAGGGGUAACAUUGUGCUUGCACAGAUGACGACCGGCGCACGGGUGCGUAACGCGUAUAGAACCUACCUUUUACAGAGGAAUAGCCUUUAGAAAUGAAGAUUAAUGCCUCAUAGUAUUGUAGACUGGCAUCAGUUUAUAAUUAAAGAUUUAUCGGUAAAAGAUGGCUAUGCGUCCUAUUAGUUAGUUGGUAAGGUAACGGCUUACCAAGACAGCGAUAGGUAGGGGUCCUGAGAGGGAGAUCCCCCACACUGGUACUGAGACACGGACCAGACUCCUACGGGAGGCAGCAGUGAGGAAUAUUGGACAAUGGAGGAGACUCUGAUCCAGCCAUGCCGCGUGUAGGAAGAAUGCCCUUUGGGUUGUAAACUACUUUUAUACAGGAAGAAACACUGGUAUGUAUACCAGCUUGACGGUACUGUAAGAAUAAGGACCGGCUAACUCCGUGCCAGCAGCCGCGGUAAUACGGAGGGUCCGAGCGUUAUCCGGAAUCAUUGGGUUUAAAGGGUCCGCAGGCGGUCGAUUAAGUCAGAGGUGAAAUCCCAUAGCUCAACUAUGGAACUGCCUUUGAUACUGGUUGACUUGAGUCAUAUGGAAGUAGAUAGAAUGUGUAGUGUAGCGGUGAAAUGCAUAGAUAUUACACAGAAUACCGAUUGCGAAGGCAGUCUACUACGUAUGUACUGACGCUGAGGGACGAAAGCGUGGGGAGCGAACAGGAUUAGAUACCCUGGUAGUCCACGCCGUAAACGAUGGAUACUAGUUGUUGGGAUUUAUCUCAGUGACUAAGCGAAAGUGAUAAGUAUCCCACCUGG